UGCGCGGGGGCGGCGGGGCGGCCGCGGUGAGCUCACAGAGCCGGGGCCUCCGGGGCCGGGUCGGGGAGGUGGGCGCGCCCGCGGGACCCGGAGGCCUGAGUGCGCCUCCCCGCGCGUCCGGUCUCAGCACGUGCUCCUUCAUUGACGAGCGCGCCGGAGAUGCUGGCCGAGCCGUCUGCUGCGGGGGGGCGGGCGUGGCGGCGCUGCUGGGAUUCUGGGGCCCUGCGGCGUGUGCGCGAGUGGAUGGGCCUCGGGGCAAAGUCUCGUCCCGGGAGCCCUCAGCACUGCCGCAGCCCGGGAGCCAGGCGGCGCCCUCCCCCACUUUACUGACAAGGAAACAGGCGGGACAGCAAGUGAUAGAAGGAGUUUCGACUGGGUUUAAACACUCAGGAACACAUAGCAGCGCGCUUGCUUUCUUUUUAGCUUGUAGAGCAAUGGGUAUUGGGAGUCACAUAGAGUCGCCAGAGCUAGCAGUGUCCUGCCGCUGGAGGAGCCAGCUUGCGUUGUCCAGCUGGUUCUUCAGCUGCCUAAGAGUUUUCUUUAUUGUGAGCCUUUUCUGUGACCCAGCCCCACAAUAAAAGCAGAAGAGUGUGACGUCUGUUGAGGUAAACAGUAUAUAAAAUUAAAGAAUUGUUUCGAGUGAUAAAAUCCCUGUAAAUUUGAGGGAGUUAGGUCAGUAUUCAGUAAUACUCCUACCCAAAUAAUGAGUCCUUAUCCCACGUAACAGUGACUAUUAAUCACUCUCGUCUAGAUCUGUGCUGAUAUGGGGCCAGAAGUAUAUCCUGGAGUGCUCAGAAUGAGUCAGGUUUCUGGUGCCUGAAAGCUGCUGUUCUGCACCACCCACACCAGCUGGGCAAGGGCUGCUUCCCAGCACUUUCUCCGUUGUGUCCACUAAGUACACUCUUUCUUUGUUUACACAGCCUGGCACUGGAUGCCUAGCAAACAUUGGUCCAGUUAGCGAAUAAGCACUGUGAGGAACGCUGAUGUGAGGCUGACUUCCAAGCUGUAGGCGACAGUGCAGAGCUGGUGUUCUAAACUGAUACCCACAUUUCUUUGGGGCAUUAGUUUUUGGAGAGGAUAAGGAGAAAAUUCUUCCUUUUAGGAUGUUGGAGAAGGAAAACCCAUCUUAAUUGGAUGAUCGAUUGGAAGCUCCUGCUUGGGAUCAGUUAGCAGCUUUGUCUUAGAGGAAUUGACUAGCUCGACAGGCCUUUUUACUUAGCUGUGAAGAGAAUCAAGUGGUGGCUGUAAGAUUACUGGGCCAGGUUUUCCUCUCUUAAAACCCUACUUUUGUUUUCUUGCUGAAGGAUUAUCUGGUGUUAAAGGGAUUUUGAACUAUAAAAGCAUUAUGCUUUAGCCAUCAUUAAUCUGAGGUCUUUUAAGCUGCAGGAUGUAUAUUUGUAAAGAAUUUAAUCUAGGUCUAUUUUGCAGCUUCACUCCAAACCUGGCAGGUCCCCCAUAGCUUUUCUGGGAUACAGGAAUAAGCUGUUGGAAGGGGGGUCACGAGCAUGGAUCCCUCCAGGUGAGCGUCGAUGUGGCCUCUGCUGUUUCUGUGGUCCACUUGAGCUGUGUGUAUUUUCUUAUCACGUGCCCCUUAGUUUCUGUUUUGUACUUGGAAUGUCUUCAUUGAAAUGUAUCCAAGGGGUACUGAAAAAGGAAGCCAUCACUGGGAGGCAUCCCCAUGUAGUGAGGUCAUCCCCAAGACGUCUGAGCUACUGGUAUUCCCAUCCCCCUCCUGUAAUUAGGGUUGAAGUGAUACCUGCACUUGAUAGUGAGCCUGUGAGGGCCGCCUUGAGCCAUUGUUGGAGCUUCUGUUUUUAUGGAAAUGUCUAUUUAACUCUCAGUCCGGUUUAUUCGAGACCCAGCUUGUGUGAUUUGCUUGACGCUUGUGUGAUUUGCUUGACUGCUGCAAGGCUGUGCGACCCUAGUGCCACCCCAUAGCUUUUGUGGUGGAGACGCUUGCCACCUCUUCCCAGGAAACUUGGCCAUUGUGUACGAUAAUCUCUCUGCUACAACAUUCUUGGGCACCACUUUCCUUCCCUUCUUUUCAAAGUAAAGUAAAAUAAAAUUCAGAAAAGUACACAAUAUAAUAACAUAUUUCCACCACCCCAAAUUAACAUUUGGCAGUUUCAAAUAAAUAUUGCUUACCUCCUGUGCUGCAGUGGUUCUCUUUCCUCAUGGAGACUGCAGACACAAUUUGAGCCUUACCUACUCCAAAGGUGUCUUUGGAGUUCCAGUGACACUCAGUGCCUCUGUGGCAUCACUCAUGCAGAACAUGGAAACUGCCUCUGCACAGCUCUAGCCUUCCCAGAAAGCGGGGAGCUUCUCCAGGCCCAGGACUUGCUCUUGCUUGUCUUUCCAUCCACAGGGUCUGGUGCAGGCCCACCCGUGGUAGGUGCUUAGGGAACGUGCAAGUUAGAGUGAAGCAAGCGGUGGAGGCCAGGGAGAGGCGUGUAUCCAGGGAUGUGGAAUGUGAGAGGAGAGGGUGCUGGGGAGCCUACCCCACAUCUGGUCUGACAAUUUGAGGGUUUGAAAGAAAAGCUGUGUUGCAAGAAAUGCUAACUGCUGGACAGGCAUCCCUGGCCCCUUCCUUCAAGCUGAUGUGACUGAACCCAUGUGGAAGGCUGGCCCACUGCGCACUCGGCUUGGGUGGCGGCUUGGGUGGUGGCGAGCAGCCUGCCUGCGGUCUCCGUCCCAGUGAGCAGGCACACUGGUGGCCCUCGGAGCAGACGAGCACUUUCUGCUGUCCUGCUUUACAGCCAGAGAGCAGAAAACUCUGUUCCCUUUAAAUUACAACGAAUGAUCAGCUCCCUUUCUAGCUCUGUUGAGGAAACAGCAUGUUAAACAUCCUAUUCUUCUAGUGUCUGCAUCGCUUUUGUGUGGCAAGCUCCGCAGUUUCACUUUCUAAAUGUCUGGGGUCACAGGCAGUCCUCUUGCUUAGGACUGGUGAAAGAGCAGGGGCCACUCAGCAGUUUAAAACUCUGCUUUAAAAUACGUUUGAAAAUCUAGGUGUCCUGGGACUUUCCUGGUGGUCCAGUGGUUAGGCCUCCACGCUUUCACUGCAGGCAGCACAGGUUCCAUCCCUGGUGGAAGAGCUAAGAUCCUGCAGUGUGGCCAUAGGUUUCCUGUAAAGAUGCAUAUGAAUUCAGUGUUAUGCUGCCCUGCUGAAGGAGACCGAUGCUCUUGGGGUGUCAGGGAAGAGCUUUAUGGAAUUUUCUUAAUUCUUCAGUUAUUGCAAUAAAAAGUGACUCAAGGUCCUGCUCAUCCACUUCUGAAAUACCCAGCCUCCAAGUGCAUGGCAGAUUCCCAAAGAUCGAGACCACAGUAGAUUCGGCUGGUGGUGACUGAGUGUGGGAAUAGCACUGAUCUCUGUGGGUGUUUAAUUAAAAUCCACACUUGAAGGAUGCCAGUGUGUGCUGGGGUGACACUCUGCACAUGUGUUGAUCUAAAGUGAACAGUGGUCCAGCUGGUGUGUUCUGAUCUGUCUGAUGUUUAACUUGUCAUUGGUGGUACCAGACCUUGGGACUGGAAAUCAUCAGCCUGGUGUAGAUUCCCAGGACUCACGUGGGUUAGUGGGGGUGGUGCUCCCCAUGGUCUGAGCUGACACUUUCCAUUAGAAAUGUGAGCCACAUAAGGAAUUUUAAAUUUUCUAGUAGCCACACUUUAAAAAGUAAAAAGAUUCAGGAAAAAUUAAGUUUAAUAGAUAUUAUUCAACUUAAUAUGUACAAAACAUUAUUUCAACAUGUGAUCAAUGUAAAAGAUACAAUUAAAGAGAUAUUUUUGCCUUUU
Molecule: long non-coding RNA, 3786 nt
Organism: Orcinus orca (killer whale)
Lineage: Eukaryota; Metazoa; Chordata; Mammalia; Artiodactyla; Delphinidae
Exons: 2
Source: RefSeq, a predicted model, not a curated record